This is a non-coding RNA of Prunus avium (sweet cherry), 2560 nucleotides long. NCBI's taxonomy places the organism in Eukaryota, Viridiplantae, Streptophyta, Magnoliopsida, Rosales, Rosaceae. The record is from RefSeq and is a predicted model, not a curated record.
CUUACCUUCAGCCGCAGCAGCAUCGCAUUUGUAAAUCCACAGCCUCUGGUUCGUGGUUUUCUUCUUCUCUCCCUUCACAUUCUUUUCUUCUCAUCUUAAUUUUCAUUAUAUUUGCCUCUAGUUGAGUUGCGAUUGACAACAAUUCUUGCGAACUGUUAUCCAGGCAAGUAAGUAAACAUGGUGCAAUAUAACUUCAAGAAGAUGACUGUUGUACCAAGUGGGAAGGACUUCAUUGACAUUAUCCUAUCUCGCACCCAGAGGCAGACCCCAACUGUAGUCCACAAGGGUUAUGCAAUUUCCGGCCUCCGUUCUUUCUAUAUGCGUAAAGUAAAAUAUACCCAACAGAAUUUUCAUGAGAAGCUCUCCACAAUCAUUGAUGAGUUUCCUAGGCUGGAUGACAUCCACCCUUUCUAUGGCGACCUCCUUCAUGUUCUCUACAACAAAGACCAUUACAAGCUUGCACUUGGCCAAAUCAAUACUGCAAGGAACCUUAUUGGAAAGAUUUCUAAAGAUUAUGUGAAAUUGUUGAAGUAUGGUGAUUCACUUUACCGAUGCAAAUGUCUCAAGGUCGCUGCUCUCGUUGGAAAGAGCUCAUUCAUUAACAAGAUCACUAGGGCUGAUGUGGAUGUCCAGCCCUAUGCUUUUACCACCAAGUCACUCUUUGUGGGACAUACAGAUUAUAAAUACUUGAGGUACCAGGUAAUUGAUACACCAGGGAUUUUGGACCGCCCAUUUGAAGACCGUAACAUUAUUGAGAUGUGCAGCAUCACAGCUUUGGCUCACUUGAGAGCUGCGGUGUUGUUUUUCUUGGACAUCUCGGGGUCUUGUGGGUACACCAUUGCCCAACAGGCAGCUCUUUUUCACAGUAUUAAGUCUCUGUUUAUGAACAAACCAUUGAUUAUAGUCUGCAACAAGACUGAUUUGCAGCCAUUGGAGGGUAUAUCUGAGGAAGACAAAAAGUUGGUCACGGAGAUGAAAGCUGAAGCUAUGAAGACAGUGAUUGGUCAAGGUGGUGAGGCUACCAAUGAUGAGGGGGUACUCUUGACCAUGAGCACUCUGACCGAGGAGGGGGUUAUUGCUGUAAAGAAUGCAGCUUGUGAGAGAUUGUUGAAUCAGAGAGUGGAAUUGAAGAUGAAAUCCAAAAAGAUAAAUGACUGCUUAAAUCUUUUUCAUGUUGCAAUGCCAAAGCCACGUGACAAUAAGGAAAGACCCCCAUGUAUACCUCAGGUAGUUUUAGAAGCAAAGGCUAAGCAAGCAGCAGUGAAAGAAAAGAGAAAUACAGAAAAGGAUUUGGAGAAUGACAAUGGCGGUGCAGGUGUAUACUCUGCCAGUUUGAAGAAAAACUAUAUCUUAGCUAAUGAUGAAUGGAAAGAGGAUGUCAUGCCAGAAAUUCUUGAUGGGCACAACGUAUACGACUUUGUCGAUCCUGAUAUUUUGCAUAGGCUUGCGGAGUUGGAACGAGAAGAAGGAUACCGGCAGGCAGAUGCGGGUGAUGAUAAUUUUGAGAUGGAGGGAUUGGAAUUGACUCCAGAAGAGCAAAAGACAUUGGCAGAGAUAAGGAAAAAGAAAAGCUUGCUCAUUCAACAACAUAGAAUCAAGAAAAGUACAGCAGAGAGUCGGCCAACUGUACCAAGGAAAUUUGACAAGGACAGGGAGUUCACAACAAAGAGAAUGGGGAGGCAGCUAUCAAAGUUGGGUCUUGAUCCCACUAAGGCAAUUAACAGAGCUCGAAGCAGAUCUGUCUCAACUAGGGGCCGGAAGAGGGAGAGAUCACUUGACAGGGAUGAUACUGAUGGUGGUGAUGCUAUGGAUGUGGAUACACCCAACAAGAAGCAACGCAUGUUAUCUAGAUCCCGUUCGAGGUCAAGAUCAAGGCCUCCAACUGAAGUUGUCCCUGGAGAGGGAUUCAAGGACUCUGCUCAAAAGGCUAAGGCACUACAAAAGGCCAAUAAAUCUAAUAAGAUGAGAAACAAGAAUGCUCGUCGUGGAGAGGCAGAUAGGGUCAUUCCCACUUUAAAACCAAAGCACUUGUUCUCUGGAAAACGAUCAAUUGGAAAAACUCAAAGGCGUUAAAAUAUUUGAGAUGCGGAUGUGUGAGAAUAACAUUCUCGUAGCUACCAGAUGGAAGUUUUUGGUCCGUUGGGAAAUGGUAGUGUCAUAUUGAUCAUUAAAAUUAAUCUCCCGUUCUGGGGUGUUGAUUUGACUUCAUACUAUUGAAGGGAGGUAGAUUUGUGCUUUGUUGUAUGCACCAUGGAGUGUACUUGCUGCUGCAAAAGAACUUAGUUCUUUCAUCUCUGGUUUGGCAGGAUAUUGCAGCACGCGGGAUCAUGCAACCAGAGUCUUCACAGUUUCCUUUUUUUUGCAGUUGUGUUUUUAUUUAGGAAAUUUUGGAUCCGAGGCAUGCCUCAGUUACAAUAUUUUGAGUGGAGUUUAAUUUACAGACUAAUUUUUGUCUUUACCCUUUGCUUUUGUAAUGUUGUCGUUUGACAAUAUGUGAAACUUGGCCAAGUUAAAUUACUAUUUUGUUUGUUUUAUUGAAGUUCAAGUAUAGUUUAAGAUA